Molecule: unclassified non-coding RNA, 229 nt
Filed under: plant metagenome
Description: partial contains small subunit ribosomal RNA, internal transcribed spacer 1, and 5.8S ribosomal RNA
Source: RNAcentral
UCUCCGUAGGUGAACCUGCGGAGGGAUCAUUACAGAGUUCAUGCCCUACCGGGUAGAUCUCCCACCCUAUGUUAUUAUUACUUUGUUGCUUUGGCGGGCCGUUAGGCUCCGGCCCGACUACCGGCCCCGGCUGGUAAGCGCCCGCCAGAGGACCCAAAACCCUGAAUAUUAGUGUCGUCUGAGUACUAUAUAAAAGUUAAAACUUUCAACAACGGAUCUCUUGGUUCUG